GAUGAAGAACGUAGUGAAAUGCGAUAAGUAAUGCGAAUUGCAGAAUUCCGUGAGUCAUCGAAUCUUUGAACGCACAUUGCGCCCCCUGGUAUUCCGGAGGGCAUGUCUGUCCGAGCGUCAUUAGUCCAAUCUCAAGCCCGGCUCGUCGUUGGGUCGCACCGCCCGGGGCGGUGGACCCGAAAUAUAAUGACGGGGUCUAGCGGACCGUGGGCGCAGCGAGCUUUUACAGCACGCGUCCCGGCGUCAUCUAGACGCGUCUCCAACCAUACUCUCUGUAGGUUGACCUCGGAUCAGACAGGAUUACCCGCUGAACUUAAGCAUAUCAAUAAGCGGAGGA
This 337-nucleotide unclassified non-coding RNA is filed under the name soil metagenome. RNAcentral describes it as "partial contains 5.8S ribosomal RNA, internal transcribed spacer 2, and large subunit ribosomal RNA". The stretch from base 1 to 120 matches the Rfam family "5.8S ribosomal RNA", at positions 35 to 154 of the family's 154-position model. The record is from RNAcentral.